ACAGCAUUGUACACAGCUGCUAUCAUUUACUGUAGCAGAAAUACAUCAGAAAGUAGGUGUUCUAUAUGUAACACACACUUUCUGGUGAAUUGGUACCUACCAGCUGAAACCCCACAUUAGUUAUAGACUAUAACUCAUGUACGUUUACUUUCCCCUGGACAAGAGACACAGUUGUCCUGUGUCCUCUGUGAGGACACCGCCAGCUUUGGCCUCACCUCCUUCUUCACGACUUCACCCAGCCCAGCACGACUGUCCAGAACAAGACUAACAGCCAACCAAGAACAACAAGAACCAAGAACAGAUGCUUCAGCAGCAGCAGCAGCUUAACUGUCAAUCAACAAUGGACGGACAAUGGCCAGACAAUCACUGUUAGACUACACAGGGACACCUUUACCUUCAUGCUAGCAGAGGAUGAGAUAACGCCUGCCUGCCUUUGCUUCACCUUCUCUCUAGUUGGACCACCACUGCCUGCUUUCCACCUGACAGCGCUGAAGAGUCUUCACAACAGAAGGUCUGCCUCUGCUGUGAUCACUCCGCUUCACACAGUGGAGACAAUCAAGACUUUAAAGAAGGCUAAACAUGACAAUAAGCUGAACCUCAUUCAUCCUUCCUAAACUACUCUGCACUGGACAGAAAUGUUGUGUUGCCCUGCAGCAGUGUUCAAGGACCCGCUUCAUUCUCCUAUGUCCACAGCUUCGCAUCAAAUGCUGUCCACAGUUCAGUAAAGCCUAACUUCUGUUGACGUUGGCGAGUGAUCAGGUGAACUGAUGCGGGGAACCAAACUUACGCUGAUCAUUCAUUUACUCAUCACUAUCACAGAGACAGCUCCUCCUUAGUGCAACCAAGUUGUAAAGGCCUCUGCUCCUGCCAUCUAAGG
Molecule: long non-coding RNA, 877 nt
Organism: Perca fluviatilis (European perch)
Lineage: Eukaryota; Metazoa; Chordata; Actinopteri; Perciformes; Percidae
Exons: 4
Source: RefSeq, a predicted model, not a curated record